Molecule: long non-coding RNA, 418 nt
Organism: Psammomys obesus (fat sand rat)
Lineage: Eukaryota; Metazoa; Chordata; Mammalia; Rodentia; Muridae
Exons: 3
Source: RefSeq, a predicted model, not a curated record
GAAGGAUGAUCUCAGGAAAGAGUGGAUUGACUUCCCAAGGACUCACUCUGUCUCCAGAAAUUUUAGAUGAAGAUUUCAAAGGAGAAAUUAAAAUUAUGUCCUGCAUAAAAAGAGAGAUGCAAUUUAACACAGAUGACAGGCUUGCUCAGCUGCUCCUGUUUCACUACAUCAAGGCAAAGCUGCUCCACCAGAAAGAACAGCGUGUUUGGAAGUACUGGAAAACGUGUGUUCUGGCAAACAGUCGUUAAUGAUCAGAGCCAAAAUUAAAAUUGUACUGUUCAACUUUGCCAGAGUGUUCCAGCAACGAGGCACUGGUCAUAUCAAUAAAAAGGCCUUCGCUAAUGCAGAGAAGAAGGAUGGACCAGCAUGUGUGAGGCUCUUGGCCUAACACCCAGCACUGUAAAAUAUGUACAUAUUA